GAACUGAAACAUCUAAGUAGCUGCAGGAACAGAAAUCAACCGAGAUUCCCAAAGUAGUGGCGAACGAAAUGGGAAGAGCCUUGUACUCUUUAGCAGCAUUGUUAGCAGAACGGGAUGGAAAGCCCGGCCAUAGCAGGUGAUAGCCCUGUAUGCGAAAACAGCGUUGUGGAACUAGGUGUACGACAAGUAGGGCGGGACACGUGAAAUCCUGUCUGAAGAUGGGGGGACCAUCCUCCAAGGCUAAAUACUCGUAAUCGACCGAUAGUGAACCAGUACCGUGAGGGAAAGGCGAAAAGAACCCCGGGAGGGGAGUGAAAUAGAUCCUGAAACCGCAUGCAUACAAACAGUCGGAGCCUGGAAACGGGUGACGGCGUACCUUUUGUAUAAUGGGUCAGCGACUUACAUUCAGUGGCAAGCUUAACCGAUUAGGGAAGGCGUAGCGAAAGCGAGUCCGAAUAGGGCGUUGAGUCGCUGGGUGUAGACCCGAAACCAGAUGAUCUAUCCAUGGCCAGGUUGAAGGUGCGGUAACACGUACUGGAGGACCGAACCCACUAACGUUGAAAAGUUAGGGGAUGAGCUGUGGAUAGGGGUGAAAGGCUAAACAAAUCUGGAAAUAGCUGGUUCUCUCCGAAAACUAUUUAGGUAGUGCCUCGUGUCUCACCUUCGGGGGUAGAGCACUGUCAUGGUUGGGGGGUCUAUUGCUGAUUCCCCCGCCAUAGCAAACUCCGAAUACCGAAGAGUGCAAUCACGGGAGACAGACAUCGGGUGCUAACGUCCGGUGUCAAGAGGGAAACAACCCAGACCGCCAGCUAAGGUCCCAAAGAUUGGCUAAGUGGGAAACGAAGUGGGAAGGCUAAAACAGUCAGGAGGUUGGCUUAGAAGCAGCCACCCUUUAAAGAAAGCGUAAUAGCUCACUGAUCGAGUCGUCCUGCGCGGAAGAUGUAACGGGGCUAAGCCAGUCACCGAAGCUGCGGACGCACGCAAGUGCGUGGUAGGAGAGCGUUCUGUAAGCCUGUGAAGGUGUCUUGUAAAGGAUGCUGGAGGUAUCAGAAGUGCGAAUGCUGACAUGAGUAGCGAUAAAGGGGGUGAAAGGCCCCCUCGCCGUAAGCCCAAGGUUUCCUACGCAACGUUCAUCGGCGUAGGGUGAGUCGGCCCCUAAGGCGAGGCAGAGAUGCGUAGCUGAUGGGAAGCAGGUUAAUAUUCCUGCACCGUCGUAUGAUGCGAUGGGGGGACGGAUCGCGGAAGGUUGUCCGGGUGUUGGAAGUCCCGGUCCCUGCAUUGGAGAAGGCGCUUAGGCAAAUCCGGGCGCGGAAUUCAAGGAUGUGGGGCGAGCGGCCUAGUGCUGCGAAGCAAUUGGAAGUGGUUCCAAGAAAAGCCUCUAAGCUUCAGUCAUACGAGACCGUACCGCAAACCGACACAGGUGGGCGAGAUGAGUAUUCUAAGGCGCUUGAGAGAACUCGGGAGAAGGAACUCGGCAAAUUGGUACCGUAACUUCGGGAUAAGGUACGCCCUUGUAGCUUGACUGGCCUGCGCCAGGAGGGUGAAGGGGUUGCAAUAAAAUGGUGGCUGCGACUGUUUAAUAAAAACACAGCACUCUGCAAACACGAAAGUGGACGUAUAGGGUGUGACGCCUGCCCGGUGCCGGAAGAUUAAAUGAUGGGGUGCAAGCUCUUGAUUGAAGUCCCGGUAAACGGCGGCCGUAACUAUAACGGUCCUAAGGUAGCGAAAUUCCUUGUCGGGUAAGUUCCGACCUGCACGAAUGGCGUAACGAUGGCCACACUGUCUCCUCCCGAGACUCAGCGAAGUUGAAGUGUUUGUGAUGAUGCAAUCUCCCCGCGGCUAGACGGAAAGACCCCAUGAACCUUUACUGUAGCUUUGCAUUGGACUUUGAACCGAUCUGUGUAGGAUAGGUGGGAGGCUUUGAAGCGUGGACGCUAGUUCACGUGGAGCCGUCCUUGAAAUACCACCCUGGUUUGUUUGAGGUUCUAACCUUGGCCCGUGAAUCCGGGUCGGGGACAGUGCAUGGUAGGCAGUUUGACUGGGGCGGUCUCCUCCCAAAGUGUAACGGAGGAGUUCGAAGGUACGCUUGGUACGGUCGGACAUCGUACCUAAAGUGCAAUGGCAAAAGCGUGCUUAACUGCGAGACCGACAAGUCGAGCAGGUGCGAAAGCAGGACAUAGUGAUCCGGUGGUUCUG
This 2196-nucleotide ribosomal RNA is filed under the name sediment metagenome. RNAcentral's name for it is "bacterial LSU rRNA". It matches the Rfam family "Bacterial large subunit ribosomal RNA", at positions 190 to 2431 of the family's 2925-position model. The record is from RNAcentral.